Long non-coding RNA from Betta splendens (Siamese fighting fish), 3158 nucleotides. RefSeq lists it as uncharacterized. Lineage: Eukaryota; Metazoa; Chordata; Actinopteri; Anabantiformes; Osphronemidae. The transcript is spliced from 2 exons. The record is from RefSeq and is a predicted model, not a curated record.
AAUAGUUUUUGGCUGCUGCGAACUAAAGAAUUCCCCCAUUAUGGGAUAAAUAAUAUAUAUCCUAUAUAUAUGGAAACAGUCCAUUCACGCUUCAAUGCCUCCCAAUUUACAAAAGUGAUCAUUUGAGCCAUUCACCGGCAUUACUGUAUUUAAAAGUUGAGUCGUCGUGUUACUUUUUUUUUAUUUUAUGAUUUUUUUUGACAAAUGGUUUCAAAGUCAAUUUCUUGAAACUCUACACUGACUCAUGCAGACAAGACAGUAAUUUCAAUAAUUCCCCUCCAUGCUAUUACUAUGGGCUCGGGUUACUACAUUAUGCUAAAUGUUUACAAAUGAACCCCAGAGUUGUAUGUCCGUUUAUGAUUGGCUGGCGCGGUGCCAGCGCAUUGUCAGUCACAGGGUGUAAACAAGUCUCUGAUUGGCUGUUGGCCAGUCCGCAUAGGGCUGCCUGAAAAAAAGGAAAAAAAGGCAAUAACUGGCCCCGCGGUUUCAAGGCGUCCCAGGUUAGAUGAUGAAAGGGGAUAAGACGAGGCGGUUUCGAGGCGCCCCAAAGGCGGACCCCUAUUGGCCCUGAAGCCAUAUGAGUCAAGCGUGAAUCAAAGGGAAUGCUGCAGAGAGGGGGAAAUUAUAUGUUGGAUAUUUAAAAUAAUCGAGGUUAGUUUUUGGACGAAUGCGGACCAGCGGUGCCUAAUGAUUAUAAAAAUGACAUGAAAACAAGCGAAACGAGUGAAACAGUCCAGGUUAUAGGCUGCACGUGAGGCUGAGCGGAGGGAAAACAGCCCCGGUCGCGGAUCCCCCUGCCGAAAUCCGCUCUAAUGGAGAAAACCUGCGUGGAGUCUUUCACCAUGUUAAAGUGUGGCUGCAUGAGGUUUGUCGUAGUGCGUUAGUGCGCUGGAAAUAAAGAAAACAGCGUCGUUAGUCUCAAACGUUGACAGCGUUAAUCGGAUAUCGUGGCAUGCCGUUAUGCUGUUGUAAUAAAUGUGGAUUUAACCGGCAAAUGCGCGUUGGGGUGGGAAUACUUCGAUGCAAGCAGGAGAAACGGUCGAUGGGUGCGCGAGGACGAGCCAGAGACCGUCGUGAAUGCGUGCAGACAAAACAUCUCCCCAUUUUUAAAGAGCGAUAAUCCUGCGGCAGAUUAACGUCGAAUUGGAUUUCGGCGUCCCCUCAGUCUGAGCACGUCCUUCACCACAGCUUCCCCGUGUGACAUUUCACAAACCUGCUUUGCUUGAAUACUCACUUGUAGCCUAUUUAAGAAGAAGGUGUUGGAAUUUCAUCUCCUUGUAGCCUCUUCUUAUGAGUGAGUGUGUGCAACGUGAAAGAGGUGGGGAGCUGCACGUACACACACACACACACACACACACACACACACACACACACACACACACACACACACAAUAAUGCGUACGGCAGCAUGCACGCUCACGCUUUACAGACAAAGUGAUAAUUAAUGCGGAGUGGAUGAUUUCUUGAAAAAAAAGUCCAGUUUCGCGACGGGGAUUGUCCUUGAUCAAUGAAGCAUUGAUGACUGACAGUUAGUGCCUCCCACCCACAUCCACAGACGCAGACAGAGCCCUUGGGUAGUAAGUAUAGACAAACUCAUAGACUAUUUCCACGUUAAUUCUUCAGGAUUACCAGCACUGGCGAUCGCCCGCAGCCCCUGACAAAUGGUGCGUGAAUCUUAGGUUCUGGAAACAUUUGGGAUUAUCGUAGAGUCCGUUUGAAACAGACAGUGACCCCGAGAUUUAACUUGUGUGUGGGUAGCUCUAAAUAGAUUUGCUUCUUUAUUUAACUAGCGACGUGCUGGAAAGCUCACAGCAAGAGCUUAAUAAUUAAAAUUCAUCCAAAAUGAGUGAACGCAUCACUGGUUGGGUUUUACGUCUGGCUUGUUCAUGUGAAGUCCUCAAGCUACGGUAUGAAAUACUAUGGAGCUGGUUUGACCUGUAUGUUUGUGUGUGAGUGUGACGCGUGGUCGAAGGGCAGAGGAGUCGACAUUCAUUAUGAACUAAUGUAUCACAUAUGUAAAUAUUUAUUUAAGGUAAAGUACAUAUUUAUACAGUAAUAUUUUGAUUUAUUAUUUUUAAUUGUUGUUCAUUAUCAGUGGAUGGACAUCUGAAAGCUGAGAAGAGGUGUGUGUCUGUGUGCAUGAAUUGCAUUGGCAUAUGGCAUAACCAUAGGCUGGCACUGUAUUUAAAACGGCACCCUAUGGGUCGUCACAUGAAGGCAAGAACCUUGAUCUCCCUGCACCAAAAUAAUGCUAAUUUUACCUCAACACAAUUAUUUUCAUUCUCACCAAGAUCAACUGCUCAUUAAACGGCCGCUAAAUUUAGCCUGUUUAAAUUUUAACACCAGGCCACAGAUAGCACUCGCUGAAAUCCAGCCUCCAUAAUUCACAUCACGUUUCCUCUGACUGAAAACAAAAGAUUGCUUGAUGCACGAUGGCCUGCAGAAAGCAGUGGACACAGGAAAUAUAUAGAGCCACAAAACACACUGUGACCCACAGUUUGGUGCAGCCCAUAGACAAGCUGCCAUAAGCUAAAAUAGGUCAUAUAUGUCUAAUUUUGGUAAUGGAGAAGGCCUUUGUGCUGACCUCCCCAAAAAUGCUCUAUUUUAAGUCAGUGCGUUUACAGGCAGCCUGGUGCUGAAGGAUACUGGACGCUUGUCCAUAUAAAUGGAGGCUUUCUUUCCCAGCAGAACAAGCCCACAGUCCCAUCACAUCUCAGGCACGUUCACCCCUUCUUUACCUUCUGACAUCACAUCCCAUUCACCUCACUGGGGAUUACAGGAGGGACGGCCUGUUUCCCCUGUUUUCCCAUUGGGCCACGGUGGGAAGGACAACACGUGUAAAAUCCAUCACCGGAGGGCGCCGGCCCAAUUCCAUGCUUUGACAAUGGACAAAGUUUUCAGACGUGACGUCCGGGUUUGUAUCCUCAUGAAAGACAGAUAUUGCAUGGAUGCGUUAAUUGAUGUUAAGUUGACGCUGUAUUAUAAGGAAUCUUUGUUGCGUAACACAGCUGCUGAAGGUCUAGCAACAAGAAUUAUUGAACUGUUCUACAACAUCUGCAUUGAAGGAAGAUACUGAAAGGGGGGAGGGGGUUGUUUAUGAUGAUGGUCAUGUAACCAAGAUGGCUGUUGUCAAUAAAAAAGCUUUUGUUUGAAGAGAA